AUUGGCUCUACCUCUCAAAUCCUCACUUACACAGCCUAUAAGUGUUGGGGUGCCUUAAUGCUUGAUGUUAGACCAUCUACUCUUCUCACUUAAUAACCUUUCUCUGAGGCAUCUCAAUCAGAGCUGUGGCCUCAACUGCUUAACAGAGGCAUGUGAAAAGUGCUGCAGGAGUGUUCAGCCGAGUGCGUGACUAUGUCAUGUGAAAAGUAGCUUGAUUUGGGGUCACUGCUAUUCAGUGGAAAAUUUAACCUUGGGAUGGAUAAUGCAGCCCAAAUUUGAACUCUGAAAGACUAUUCACUGGAUUGGAAGACCAAUAGAUACCAAUAAAUUAAAAGUAAUUGCUGUUUAUCCUUCAUCAAAAUUACCAUUAUUCUACAAGGUGGCCCUCCAGAGUUAGUGAACUGUGACCUCCACAUGGGAUUUGGACAUGCGUGCCCUACAUCUGGAAUGCAGAAACACUCUUCACAGAACUCUGAUAGCCCAGGAAUAUUUAUGUAAAUCUCUGUCCUGGUAAGGCACAUGUUGAUGUACUUGGGCUUAAGCUCAUAAACCAAGAGGAACAGUUUCCUACAUCCCCCUUCUAAUGACUAAAGCCAACGGGCUGAGCCAAAUGGGACAAUUUAGACAAAGAGAGACUGGCGAAAAGCAAAUGAAUGUCUGCUUCCUUCUAGCAUUCUAGGAAAAAUACCAAGCGGCUGUGCCAAUGUGCACUGCUUGCCUUUGUUAGGAGAAUACACUCAAAAUCAGGGGAAUCAGUCAGUACCAGGUUCAGGAAAGAUGUAUGCAAGAGAGACUCCCUGAUGAGGAAAAAUCGACUACAGAAACACAGCAUGCACCCAGCUCAGCACAAACACAGCUUAAAAAUCCAAGGAAUUAGGAUGAAGUGUAGAAUCCCGAGGUUCUCAUUCUUGUUCCCAUAAGCCAGGAUUGGCUGAGCCUUAGCCAGGAUACCACCUGGCAUUCAGCCACAUCGGCUAAAGAGAUGAGGAACCUGAGAGGAAACAAAUGUGAGGAAGAGGAUGAUUCAAGAGGACCAGAAAUACAAGGAAAGGACAGAGGCCCUCGGAUGGUUCACUGCAGAGAAGACAGGCUGAAAGAUUUAGGAACCGGCUGAAAGCCAACAUGCCAGAGCCUCCCAAAGGGUGGAAUCAGAGAUCUCUCCUGCUAUUAUUGUAUCAGCAGCCUCACGUCUACCCUCGGGCCUGAAUUUUGUUAUAGAUUUAUACACAUUUGAUAUAGAGUCCUUCCCAUGCUACUUUCCUACUAUCUCUGUGUUUCCUAGAACCAAGGGUGUCAGAAUACAAUGCAUUUGGUGACAAGCUGACUGGACUCAAAGAGAAGUUGCUGUGGGAUUUCUGCAAGACCAGAGUCUUAGAGGAGACGGUGCCCAAGUCUAACUUGUUCACUCUUGGAAUGCCAGGCACCAAACAUGGUGCCUGGUCCAUUGCUGGCAGUGGGUUCUUCCUAUGUGCCAUGCAUUUGACUCUCCUAGGGAACUCCUUUAAAAUAGAGAUAUCAAGCACCCCCUCCUUCCCAGAAGAUGCUCAUCCUGUUGGUGGAGACAGGACCA
Molecule: long non-coding RNA, 1570 nt
Organism: Homo sapiens (human)
Lineage: Eukaryota; Metazoa; Chordata; Mammalia; Primates; Hominidae
Product: long intergenic non-protein coding RNA 411
Source: Ensembl